Molecule: ribosomal RNA, 136 nt
Filed under: Salmonella enterica
Lineage: Bacteria; Pseudomonadati; Pseudomonadota; Gammaproteobacteria; Enterobacterales; Enterobacteriaceae
Description: partial 16S ribosomal RNA
Rfam family: Bacterial small subunit ribosomal RNA
Source: RNAcentral
UUAAAUUGAAGAGUUUGAUCAUGGCUCAGAUUGAACGCUGGCGGCAGGCCUAACACAUGCAAGUCGAACGGUAACAGGAAGCAGCUUGCUGUUUCGCUGACGAGUGGCGGACGGGUGAGUAAUGUCUGGGAAACUG